This 677-nucleotide ribosomal RNA is filed under the name Bacillus licheniformis. RNAcentral's name for it is "bacterial SSU rRNA". It matches the Rfam family "Bacterial small subunit ribosomal RNA", at positions 341 to 1008 of the family's 1533-position model. Lineage: Bacteria; Bacillati; Bacillota; Bacilli; Caryophanales; Bacillaceae. The record is from RNAcentral.
ACGGGAGGCAGCAGUAGGGAAUCUUCCGCAAUGGACGAAAGUCUGACGGAGCAACGCCGCGUGAGUGAUGAAGGUUUUCGGAUCGUAAAACUCUGUUGUUAGGGAAGAACAAGUACCGUUCGAAUAGGGCGGCACCUUGACGGUACCUAACCAGAAAGCCACGGCUAACUACGUGCCAGCAGCCGCGGUAAUACGUAGGUGGCAAGCGUUGUCCGGAAUUAUUGGGCGUAAAGCGCGCGCAGGCGGUUUCUUAAGUCUGAUGUGAAAGCCCCCGGCUCAACCGGGGAGGGUCAUUGGAAACUGGGGAACUUGAGUGCAGAAGAGGAGAGUGGAAUUCCACGUGUAGCGGUGAAAUGCGUAGAGAUGUGGAGGAACACCAGUGGCGAAGGCGACUCUCUGGUCUGUAACUGACGCUGAGGCGCGAAAGCGUGGGGAGCGAACAGGAUUAGAUACCCUGGUAGUCCACGCCGUAAACGAUGAGUGCUAAGUGUUAGAGGGUUUCCGCCCUUUAGUGCUGCAGCAAACGCAUUAAGCACUCCGCCUGGGGAGUACGGUCGCAAGACUGAAACUCAAAGGAAUUGACGGGGGCCCGCACAAGCGGUGGAGCAUGUGGUUUAAUUCGAAGCAACGCGAAGAACCUUACCAGGUCUUGACAUCCUCUGACAACCCUAGAGAUA